UACGAAGGGUGCAAGCGUUACUCGGAAUUACUGGGCGUAAAGAGCUCGUAGGCGGUUCGUCGCGUCGGCUGUGAAAUCCCGAGGCUCAACCUCGGGUCUGCAGUCGAUACGGGCGGACUGGAGUACUGCAGGGGAGACUGGAAUUCCUGGUGUAGCGGUGAAAUGCGCAGAUAUCAGGAGGAACACCGGUGGCGAAGGCGGGUCUCUGGGCAGUAACUGACGCUGAGGAGCGAAAGCGUGGGGAGCGAACAGG
Molecule: ribosomal RNA, 253 nt
Filed under: uncultured bacterium
Lineage: Bacteria
Description: partial 16S ribosomal RNA
Rfam family: Bacterial small subunit ribosomal RNA
Source: RNAcentral